UGGGGAAUUUUGCACAAUGGGGGAAACCCUGAUGCAGCGACGCCGCGUGAUUUAGAAGGCCUUCGGGUUGUAAAAAUCUUUUCUAUGGGAAGAAAAUGACAGUACCAUAGGAAUAAGGACUGGCUAAUUACGUGCCAGCAGCCGCGGUAAUACGUAAGGUCCGAGCGUUGUCCGGAAUCAUUGGGCGUAAAGGGUACGUAGGCGGUUUUUUAAGUCAGGUGUCAAAGCGUGGAGCUUAACUCCAUUAAGCACUUGAAACUGAAAGACUUGAGUGAAGGAGAGGAAAGUGGAAUUCCUAGUGUAGCGGUGAAAUGCGUAGAUAUUAGGAGGAAUACCGGUGGCGAAGGCGACUUUCUGGACUUUUACUGACGCUCAGGUACGAAAGCGUGGGGAGCAAACAGG
RNAcentral lists this ribosomal RNA (402 nucleotides) under Verrucomicrobiota bacterium. RNAcentral's name for it is "Verrucomicrobia bacterium partial 16S ribosomal RNA". It matches the Rfam family "Bacterial small subunit ribosomal RNA", at positions 355 to 776 of the family's 1533-position model. Lineage: Bacteria; Pseudomonadati; Verrucomicrobiota. The record is from RNAcentral.